UACGUAGGGUCCGAGCGUUGUCCGGAAUUAUUGGGCGUAAAGGGCUCGUAGGCGGUCCGUCACGUCGGGAGUGAAAACUCAGGGCUCAACCCUGAGCGUGCUUCCGAUACGGGCGGACUAGAGGUAUGCAGGGGAGAACGGAAUUCCUGGUGUAGCGGUGGAAUGCGCAGAUAUCAGGAAGAACACCCGUGGCGAAAGCGGCUCUCUAGAACGGUACUGACGCUGAGACGCGAAAGCGUGGGGAGCGAACAGG
This 253-nucleotide ribosomal RNA is filed under the name uncultured bacterium. RNAcentral's name for it is "partial 16S ribosomal RNA". It matches the Rfam family "Bacterial small subunit ribosomal RNA", at positions 524 to 776 of the family's 1533-position model. The record is from RNAcentral.